This is a non-coding RNA of Caenorhabditis elegans, 21 nucleotides long. The record is from Ensembl. NCBI's taxonomy places the organism in Eukaryota, Metazoa, Nematoda, Chromadorea, Rhabditida, Rhabditidae.
UUGUCGAUCGGAUUAAUUUUU